Molecule: small RNA, 29 nt
Filed under: Bombyx mori (domestic silkworm)
Lineage: Eukaryota; Metazoa; Arthropoda; Insecta; Lepidoptera; Bombycidae
Description: ovarian small RNA-22886
Source: RNAcentral
UAGUACUUUUGACACGUUUUCUCUAACAA